Molecule: microRNA, 21 nt
Filed under: Gossypium raimondii (Peruvian cotton)
Lineage: Eukaryota; Viridiplantae; Streptophyta; Magnoliopsida; Malvales; Malvaceae
Description: gra-miR164a
Gene: gra-miR164a
Source: miRBase by way of RNAcentral
CAUGUGCCUUGGCUCUCCAUC